GGUCAGCACGGCCCCUCCCGUGGGUGUCACAGAGAGCGAUGCGGGUCCCUCUCCCCGGGAAGGAGUGGGUCUGGGUCCAGUCCGCAGGGCCCCCUCGCGGGUGCUGACGCAGAAUGGAGUUGAGGUGGGGGCAGCGCUGGACCCCAGGGGCCCUGCCUGCCUCCUGGGGAGCCCGGUGACCCAGGCAGCCCUGGUGAGGCCGCAGAAGUCUGGGCCCUAGCGACGCCCCCGGGCUCCCACAGGACGAAUGUAGACGGUGAGGCCAAGGAGGCCCUGCUGCCCUCGGGACUGUCCCUCCAGCCCCCAGCUUUCCGUGGUUAUUGGGCCCCCUCUGCAGAGGGGCAGGGGAGCCCACCCUGGAUCCUGAGGCGCCGAGCUUGAGGGACCCCAGAGCUCCAGACAGGCCGCUUUCUUUGCGGGUGGUGAAGCUGAGGUCCCGAGGAGGGCAGGGGUAGGUCCCGGGCGCUCCUCAGGCAAAGGGAGCCGAUUUAGGGGCUGGGGUCACAGGAGGCGCUUCUGCGACCUCUAGGGCCCUAGAGCCCGGGAGGAUGAGAGACUAGGGGCCUUUCGUCCACCCCUGGGGCUGGGCGCACGCUCAGCCUGUGCAACCCGAAGCUGCUUCUGGCCAGUCCCAGCCGCGGCCCCUUUAAGAGGGGGUGGAGCUUCAGCCUGGCGCCAGGGACGCUGCCAGCACGCAGGCCCCGACGGAAGCCGAGACUGCGCUUCGUGCGAGGCCCGGGCAGCAUCCGCGGCGUGGUCAGAGCGAGUCUCGGAGAAGCUGUGGUGGCUUCUGUAUGUUGGUGGAGGAGGCGGCAGGUCUCGGCGGUCAUUUACCAUGAUGUCCUCCAGGUUCAACAGUAUGGCUCCAGAUGAUGAAAUUUCAUUCUGUUUCUUUGGCUGAAUACUAUUCUAUUUGUGUACUUCCACCACAGUCACUUUAUUCCUUCAUCUGUGGAUGGGCAGGUGACUGAUGAAGAAAAACAAAAUCGUGACCAAACUUGUCCAGUUUUGUUUUGACACACUGUAAACACAGAUGCAUGCUGAUCUAAAUAUACCCACACCGUAUGUCUUCUCAUUGGAGGAGCUACAUGCUUUCAAGUUUUGUUUAUGAGUCUCUAAUUCAUUUUGAGUUGAUUGUUGUGCUUUUUACACAAUAGGGAUCCUAUUUUAUUAUUUUACAUAGGGAUAUCCAAUUUUCAAAACAAUUUUUUUAAUUUUAUUAUUAUUAUAGUUUAAGUUUUAGGGUACAUGUACACAACGUGCAGGUUUGUUACAUAUGUAUACAUGUGCCAUGCUGGUGUGUUGCACCCAUUAACUCGUCAUUUAGUAUUAGGUAUAUCUCCUAAUGCUAUCCCUCCCCCCUCCCCACACCCCACAACAGUCCCCAGUGUGUGAUGUUCCCCUUCCUGUGUCCAUGUGUUCUCAUUAUUCAGUUCCCACCUAUGAGUGAGAACAUGUGGUGUUUGGUUUUUUGUCCUUGCGAUAGUUUGCUGAGAAUGAUGGUUUCCAGCUUCAUCCAUGUCCCUACAAAGGACAUGAAUUCAUCAUUUUUUAUGGCUGCAUAGUAUUCCAUGGUGCAUAUAUGCCACAUUUUCUUAAUCCAAUCUAUCGUUGUUGGACAUUUGGGUUGGUUCCAAGUCUUUGCUAUUGUGAAUAGUGCCACAAUAAACAUACAUGUGCAAGUGUCUUUAUAGCAGCAUGAUUUAUAAUCCUUUGGGUAUAUACCCAGUAAUGGGAUGGCUGGGUCAAAUGGUAUUUCUAGUUCUAGAUCCCUGAGGAAUCGCCACACUGACUUCCACAAUGGUUGAACUAGUUUACAGUCCCACCAACAGUGUAAAAGUGUUCCUAUUUCUCCACAUCCUUUCCAGCACCUGUUGUUUCCUGACUUUUUAAUGAUCGCCAUUCUAACUGGUGUGAGAUGGUAUCUCAUUGUGGUUUUGAUUUUCAUUUCUCUGAAGGCCAGUGAUGAUGAGCAUUUUUUCAUGUGUUUUUUGGCUGCAUAAAUGUCUUCUUUUGAGAAGUGUCUGUUCAUAUCCUUCGCCCACUUUUUGAUGGGGUUAUUUCCUUUUUUCUUGUAAAUUUGUUUGAGUUCAUUGUAGAUUCUGGAUAUUAGCCCUUUGUCAGAUGAGUGGGUUGCAAAAAUGUUCUCCCAUUCUGUAGGUUGCCUGUUCACGCUGAUGGUAGUUUCUUUUGCUGUGCGGAAGCUCUUUAGUUUAAUUAGAUCCCAUUUGUCAAUUUUGGCUUUUGUUGCCAUUGCUUUUGGUGUUUUAGACAUGAAGUCCUUGCCCAUGCCUAUGUCCUGAAUGGUAUUGCCUAGGUUUUCUUCUAGGGUUUUUAUGGUUUUAGAUAUAACAUGUAAGUCUUUAAUCCAUCUUUAAUUAAUUUUAGUAUAAGGUGUGUGGAAGGGAUCCAGUUUCAGCUUUCUACAUAUGGCUAGCCAGUUUUCCCAGCACCAUUUAUUAAAUAGGGAAUCCUUUCCCCAUUUCUUGUU
Symphalangus syndactylus (siamang) is the source of this 2491-nucleotide long non-coding RNA. RefSeq lists it as uncharacterized. The record is from RefSeq and is a predicted model, not a curated record. NCBI's taxonomy places the organism in Eukaryota, Metazoa, Chordata, Mammalia, Primates, Hylobatidae.